This 77-nucleotide transfer RNA is filed under the name Clostridiales bacterium. Its description in RNAcentral is "tRNA-Thr". It matches the Rfam family "tRNA". From Rfam's summary of the family: Transfer RNA (tRNA) molecules are approximately 80 nucleotides in length. Their secondary structure includes four short double-helical elements and three loops (D, anti-codon, and T loops). Further hydrogen bonds mediate the characteristic L-shaped molecular structure. tRNAs have two regions of fundamental functional importance: the anti-codon, which is responsible for specific mRNA codon recognition, and the 3' end, to which the tRNAs corresponding amino acid is attached (by aminoacyl-tRNA synthetases). tRNAs cope with the degeneracy of the genetic code in two manners: having more than one tRNA (with a specific anti-codon) for a particular amino acid; and 'wobble' base-pairing, i.e. permitting non-standard base-pairing at the 3rd anti-codon position. RNAcentral also lists the same sequence under 4 other names. Lineage: Bacteria; Bacillati; Bacillota; Clostridia; Eubacteriales. The record is from RNAcentral.
GCUGUUGUAGCUCAGGUGGUAGAGCGCUUCCUUGGUAAGGAAGAGGUUCGGCAGUUCAAGUCUGCUCAACAGCUCCA